This is a non-coding RNA of Chelonoidis abingdonii (Abingdon island giant tortoise), 102 nucleotides long. NCBI's taxonomy places the organism in Eukaryota, Metazoa, Chordata, Testudines, Testudinidae. The record is from RefSeq and is a predicted model, not a curated record.
CCUGGAGCUCGCAGACCUGCCCCCUUACCACUCUGCUCUGAGCGGGGCGGAGCCCAGGCCUCCCCUGAGCCAUGCGGCUGCAGCACUCGACAGAUGCACCUG